CAUUCAUGUAACUGAAGACCUUGACCUAAGCCUGAUCCAAAGCCUGUUGAAGCCAACAGUAAAUCUUUUAUUGAUUUUCAGAAGCUUUCCCCUGUGAAUCCAUCAACUUUCUUGAUUUAUAUCUUGAGAACUGAUACUUUAUUUCAACAAGAAACCGAAGUUUCAUUGCCAGGGCUUGCUGUGAAACAAACUCCAUGGGAUGCAUCACAACCAACAGAUACUUCACUAAUGAAUUCAAGACCCAACAAGGUGUCGUCUGUAAGGUCCACAAAGCUGUAUAUGCAGCAGAGUGGCCCAGGAUUCUGACCUCUUAGCACUCAGUAAAGAACCUGCUGAGGGCCACACCUUCCUUCUGACAGCAUGAAGGCCUCUGUACAAAAGACAGCUAAGUGUACUCAGAAUUCCAUGCACCCAAGGAAGUCAUCAAGCCCACCAAAAGAAGUAUAGCCAAUGUCCCUGUGGAAAGUAUUCUGCUUUUUAGGAAAGAGCUGAAAGUGUGCUA
Molecule: non-coding RNA, 502 nt
Organism: Zonotrichia albicollis (white-throated sparrow)
Lineage: Eukaryota; Metazoa; Chordata; Aves; Passeriformes; Passerellidae
Source: RefSeq, a predicted model, not a curated record